Molecule: ribosomal RNA, 253 nt
Filed under: uncultured bacterium
Lineage: Bacteria
Description: partial 16S ribosomal RNA
Rfam family: Bacterial small subunit ribosomal RNA
Source: RNAcentral
UACGUAGGGUGCAGGCGUUAAUCGGAAUUACUGGGCGUAAAGCGUGCGCAGGCGGUCUUUUAAGUCAGAUGUGAAAUCCCCGGGCUUAACCUGGGAACUGCGUUUGAAACUGGAAGGCUAGAGUGUGGCAGAGGGGGGUGGAAUUCCACGUGUAGCAGUGAAAUGCGUAGAUAUGUGGAGGAACACCGAUGGCGGAGGCAGCCCCCUGGGCUAACACUGACGCUCAUGCACGAAAGCGUGGGGAGCAAACAGG